ACACGGACGAAGGAGUCUAACAGUCGCGCGAGUCUUUGAGUGGCAAACUCUGAGGCACAAUGAAAGUGAAAACAAGGUGUUGCAGCACCGGCCGCCGUUCCUUCAGGGAACGAGUGAGCAAGAGCGUGGCUGCUAGGACCCGAAAGAUGGUGAACUAUGCUUGAGCAGAGUGAAGUCAGGGGAAACUUUGAUGGAAGCUCGUAGCGGUACUGACGUGCAAAUCGUUCGUUUGACUUGAGCAUAGGGGCGAAAAACCAAUCGAACCAUCUAGUAGCUGGUUUCCUCUGAAAUUUCUCUUAGGAUAGCGAGGACAGAAUCAGUUCCAUCGGGUAAAGCAAAUGAUUAGAGUACCAUGGCUCUCUCUCACGCUGUGGACUAUUCUCAAACUUUGAAUCGGUGGCUAAKAUGUUUGCUUAGUUGAACAUUUAAAGAAAUGACUGUCCUUAGUGGGCCAUUUCUGGUAAGCAGAACUGGCGAUGAGGGAUGCUCCUUGAGCCGAGUUAAGGUGCCAAAGUUACGGUCAAAGAUACCAUGAAAGGAGUGGGUUUGUUUAGACAGUAGGAGGGUGGCCCUACAAGCAGGCAUCCCAUAACGAGUGCCCUUGGCUCACCUACCGAACGAGCUUGCCCUGAAAAUGGAUGGCGCUAUACCGUAACACCGAUACUCGGCC
This 670-nucleotide ribosomal RNA is filed under the name Manawa staceyi. Its description in RNAcentral is "eukaryotic LSU rRNA". It matches the Rfam family "Eukaryotic large subunit ribosomal RNA", at positions 659 to 1353 of the family's 3401-position model. The record is from RNAcentral. Lineage: Eukaryota; Metazoa; Arthropoda; Ostracoda; Platycopida; Punciidae.